AGUGCUUCAAUGUGAACAUUAAGCACCAUAUUGGUGCAAUUUACGUUUUAAAGCCCUUUUCCUACACCGUGAAAGCGAUCACAAAGCAACUCUGUAAUACUUGUUUGC
Trabulsiella guamensis ATCC 49490 is the source of this 108-nucleotide non-coding RNA. The record is from Rfam. NCBI's taxonomy places the organism in Bacteria, Pseudomonadati, Pseudomonadota, Gammaproteobacteria, Enterobacterales, Enterobacteriaceae.